Molecule: long non-coding RNA, 203 nt
Filed under: Homo sapiens (human)
Lineage: Eukaryota; Metazoa; Chordata; Mammalia; Primates; Hominidae
Description: non-protein coding AQP4-AS1:11
Source: RNAcentral
AGUGCAAGUGUUCGAAAGCACAAAGGCAGACUGUCUACCCGCGACAGUUCGCAAGUUGCGGUGGCGGGGCGGCUGUGCGGAGCGCGCGUGCAGACUUUUUGUAGAAACUCUGCAGGUCAGAAGAUUUUUGUAUGGAAUGAUCUUCUCCAAUCAAUUAUUUGAAUCUAAGAGGAAGAGAAGAUCAUCAGUGGCAAAUGGCAGUC